Molecule: long non-coding RNA, 2950 nt
Organism: Cyanistes caeruleus (blue tit)
Lineage: Eukaryota; Metazoa; Chordata; Aves; Passeriformes; Paridae
Source: Ensembl
UCCCACUCUUUUCCCCUCACGUUUUCCGCCCUUUCCCCCCCUCACAUUUCCCACCAUUUUUUCCGCUCCUGAUUCUGCCCUUUUGUCCCUUCAGAUUUCCCAUUUUUACCUCAUUUUUAGCCCUUUUCCCCUCACAUCUCCCACCCUUCUUUCCCCCCCUCACGUUUCCCAUCUUUUUCUCCCCUCACAUUUUCCACCCUUUCCUCCCAUCAUGUUUCACACCCUUCUCCCUCACAUUUCCCACCAUUUUCACCCUCACAUUUCCCAUUUUUACCUCACAAUUUCAGUCUUUUCCCCCCUCACAUUUCCCGCUCUUUUCCCCCCUCACAUUUCCCGCUCUUUUCUCCCCUCACCUUUCCCACCCUUUUGUCCCCUCACAUUUCCCAUUUUUACCUCAAGUUUUCCUCUCUUCUCCCCUCACAUUUUCCACCAUUUUCUCCCCUCACAUUUCCCGCUCUUUCCUCUCCUCACAUUUCCCAUUUUUACCUGACCUUUCCCGCCCUUUUCCCCCCUCAUGUUUCACGCUCUUUCCCCCUCACAUUUUCCACCAUUUUCACCCUCACAUUUCCCAUUUUCCCCUCACGUUUUCAGUCCUUUCCUCUCACGUUUCCCGCUCUUUUCUCCCCUCACGUUUCCCGCCUUUUUGUCCCCUCACAUUUCCCAUUUUUACCUCAUUUUCCACCCUUUUCCCCCUCACGUUCCACGCCCUUCUCCCCUCAUAUUUUCCGCCAUUUUCCCCCCUCACAUUUCCCACCCUUUUGUCCCCUCACGUUUCCCAUUUUUACCUCAUUUUCCACCCUUUUCCCCCCCACAUUUCCCGCUCUUUUCUCCCCUCACGUUUCCCGCCUUUUUGUCCCCUCACGUUUCCCAUUUUUACCUCAUUUUCCACCCUUUUCCCCCUCACGUUCCACGCCCUUCUCCCCUCACAUUUUCCGCCAUUUUCCCCACUCACAUUUCCCACCCUUUUUUCCCUCACGUUUCCCAUUUUUACCUCAAGUUUUCCUCCCUUCUCCCCUCACAUUUUCCACCAUUUUUCCCCCUCACAUUUCCCACUCUUUCCUCUCCUCACAUUUCCCAUUUUUACCUGACCUUUCCCGCUCUUUUCCCCCCUCAUGUUUCACGCUCUUUCCCCCUCACAUUUUCCACCAUUUUCACCCUCACAUUUCCCAUUUUCCCCUCACGUUUUCAGUCCUUUCCUCUCACAUUUCCCGCUCUUUUCUCCCCUCACGUUUCCCGCUCUUUUCUCCCCUCACGUUUCCCACCUUUUUGUCCCCUCACGUUUCCCAUUUUUUCUCCCCUAAGAUUUAACAUUUUUAUCUCACCUUUUCCACCCUUUCCUCCCAUCAUGUUUCAUACCCUUCUCCCUCACAUUUCCCAUUUUUACCUCACGUUUUCAGUCCUUUUCCCCUCACAUUUCCCAACGUUUGUUCCUCUCACAUUUCCCACCCUUUUGUUCCCUCACGUUUUCCAUUUUUACCUCACGUUUUCAGUCCUUUCCCCCUCACGUUUUCUGCCAUUUUUCCCCCUCACAUUUCCCAACCUUUUCCCUCACAUUCCCUUUAUUUUUUUUGUUUUUUCGUGUUUUCCAACCUUCUCCCCAUACAUUUCCUACCAUUUUCACCCUCACAUUUGCUAUUUUUACCUCAUGUUUUCAACCCUUUUCCCCUCACAUUUCCCACCAUUUUUUCCUCUCACAAUUGCCACCCUUUUCCCCCCCUCAUGUUUCCCAUUUUUACCUCAUUUUUCACCCUUUUCUCCCUCACAUUUCCCACCAUUUUCACCCUCACAUUUCCCAUUUUUACCUCACGUUUUCAGUCCUUUUCCCCUCACAUUUCCCAACGUUUGUUCCUCUCACAUUUCCCACCCUUUUGUUCCCUCACGUUUUCCAUUUUUACCUCACGUUUUCAGUCCUUUCCCCCUCACGUUUUCUGCCAUUUUUCCCCCUCACAUUUCCCAACCUUUUCCCUCACAUUCCCUUUAUUUUUUUUGUUUUUUCGUGUUUUCCAACCUUCUCCCCAUACAUUUCCUACCAUUUUCACCCUCACAUUUGCUAUUUUUACCUCAUGUUUUCAACCCUUUUCCCCUCACAUUUCCCACCAUUUUUUCCUCUCACAAUUGCCACCCUUUUCCCCNNNNNNNNNNNNNNNNNNNNCUCUCACAUUUCCCGCUCUUUUCUCCCCUCACGUUUCCCGCUCUUUUCUCCCCUCACGUUUCCCACCUUUUUGUCCCCUCACAUUUCCCAUUUUUACCUCAUUUUCAGCCCUUCUCCCUCACAUUUCCCACCAUUUUCACCCUCACAUUUCCCAUUUUCCCCUCACGUUUUCAGUCCUUUCCUCUCACAUUUCCCGCUCUUUUCUCCCCUCACGUUUCCCGCCUUUUUGUCCCCUCACGUUUCCCAUUUUUACCUCAAGUUUUCCUCCCUUCUCCCCUCACAUUUUCCACCAUUUUUCCCCCUCACAUUUCCCGCUCUUUCCUCUCCUCAUGUUUCCCAUUUUUACCUGACCUUUCCCGCUCUUUUCCCCCCUCAUGUUUCACGCUCUUUCCCCCUCACAUUUUCCACCAUUUUCUCCCCUCACAUUUCCCAUUUUCCCCUCACGUUUUCAGUCGUUUCCUCUCACAUUUCCCGCUCUUUUCUCCCCUCACGUUUCCCGCUCUUUUCUCCCCUCACGUUUCCCACCUUUUUGUCCCCUCACAUUUCCCAUUUUUACCUCAAGUUUUCCUCCCUUCUCCCCUCACAUUUUCCACCAUUUUCUCCCCUCACAUUUCCCAUUUUCCCCUCACGUUUUCAGUCCUUUCCUCUCACAUUUCCCGCUCUUUUCUCCCCUCACGUUUCCCGCCUUUUUGUCCCCUCACAUUUCCCAUUUUUACCUCAAUUUCCACCCUUUUCCCCCUCACGUUCCACGCCCUUCUCCCCUCACAUUUUCCACCAUUUUUCCCCCUCACAUUUCCC